GCCUUGGUAGUGUAAUGGACCAGGACGGCAGGUCGGAUAUCCGUAAGCGCGGGUUCGAUUCCCGCCUGAGGUC
This 73-nucleotide transfer RNA is filed under the name Dictyocaulus viviparus (bovine lungworm). It matches the Rfam family "tRNA". Rfam says of the family: Transfer RNA (tRNA) molecules are approximately 80 nucleotides in length. Their secondary structure includes four short double-helical elements and three loops (D, anti-codon, and T loops). Further hydrogen bonds mediate the characteristic L-shaped molecular structure. tRNAs have two regions of fundamental functional importance: the anti-codon, which is responsible for specific mRNA codon recognition, and the 3' end, to which the tRNAs corresponding amino acid is attached (by aminoacyl-tRNA synthetases). tRNAs cope with the degeneracy of the genetic code in two manners: having more than one tRNA (with a specific anti-codon) for a particular amino acid; and 'wobble' base-pairing, i.e. permitting non-standard base-pairing at the 3rd anti-codon position. The record is from Rfam by way of RNAcentral. Lineage: Eukaryota; Metazoa; Nematoda; Chromadorea; Rhabditida; Metastrongylidae.